RNAcentral lists this ribosomal RNA (426 nucleotides) under uncultured Echinicola sp. Its description in RNAcentral is "bacterial SSU rRNA". It matches the Rfam family "Bacterial small subunit ribosomal RNA", at positions 505 to 931 of the family's 1533-position model. Lineage: Bacteria; Pseudomonadati; Bacteroidota; Cytophagia; Cytophagales; Cyclobacteriaceae. The record is from RNAcentral.
GUGUCAGCAGCCGCGGUAAUACGGAGGGUGCAAGCGUUGUCCUUGAUUUAUUGGGUUUAAAGGGUGCGUAGGCGGCCCGUUAAGUCAGCGGUGAAGGUUUCCGGCUCAACCGGGAAAUUGCCGUUGAUACUGGCGGGCUUGAGUGCCGAUGGGGUACAUGGAAUUUAUGGUGUAGCGGUGAAAUGCAUAGAUACCAUAAGGAACACCGAUAGCGAAGGCAUUGUACUGAUCGGCAACUGACGCUGAUGCACGAAAGCGUGGGUAGCGAACAGGAUUAGAUACCCUGGUAGUCCACGCCGUAAACGAUGAUUACUCGCUGUUAUCCCUAUAUGGGGUAGUGGCCAAGCGAAAGCGUUAAGUAAUCCACCUGGGGAGUACGCCGGCAACGGUGAAACUCAAAGGAAUUGACGGGGGUCCGCACAAGCG